GGUUAAGCGACUAAGCGUACACGGUGGAUGCCCUGGCAGUCAGAGGCGAUGAAGGGCGUGCUAAUCUGCGAUAAGCGCCGGUAAGGUGAUAUGAACCGUUAUAACCGGCGAUACCCGAAUGGGGAAACCCAGUGUGAUUCGUCACACUAUCAUUAACUGAAUCCAUAGGUUAAUGAGGC
This 179-nucleotide ribosomal RNA is filed under the name Salmonella enterica subsp. enterica serovar Corvallis. RNAcentral describes it as "partial 23S ribosomal RNA". It matches the Rfam family "Bacterial large subunit ribosomal RNA", at positions 1 to 180 of the family's 2925-position model. Lineage: Bacteria; Pseudomonadati; Pseudomonadota; Gammaproteobacteria; Enterobacterales; Enterobacteriaceae. RNAcentral also lists the same sequence under 1 other name. The record is from RNAcentral.